Molecule: long non-coding RNA, 9664 nt
Organism: Dromaius novaehollandiae (emu)
Lineage: Eukaryota; Metazoa; Chordata; Aves; Casuariiformes; Dromaiidae
Exons: 2
Source: RefSeq, a predicted model, not a curated record
ACGCGGCCCUCUUGGCAACCCCUUUCCCUUAGUGGCGCUGGCACCUCUCUGCCCUGCCUGUAUGCUUUUUAGUGCUACACUGUAGGCCAUGAAUACUGCGUCUCCUUCCUGACCCAUUGGGCAGUGACCUUCAGUAGCUGAGUUGUGCUCUUGUGGUUGACAGAUAUGCCUGCUUCUGUGGCUGAUGGGACGCUGCUGUGUUGCGUGACACCAUACAACAAAAUGUGAAUAUGCUGCCUUAUUCCGUGCAUUUCUCUCUUUCCCUCUCAGCUGUUGCUGGCUCAAGUCCCUGGCUCUUCCUUCCAGCCCUAGCCUUUUUGGUUACAACACACAUUUGUCAGUGGCAUCCUUGGCCACCCUGUGGCUGUGCAGCUGCUUCCCAACUGGCAUCUUCGCUCCUCAGACUGUUUCUAGGCUGGCUUGAUUCCCCAGCCCCGUGGAGAUUGCUCUUCCUGGCUCUGCUAUCCUAGGAUUGACUGUGACUGCCCAUCACCCCCUGUUUUUUUUCCCCUUGACAACCAGUUCCCAGGCUUCUGUCUCCAAGCUGUUCUUGCAUUCCCACAGCAUCCUCCUCUCCAAGGGCCUGUCACCAGGGCCCGAUUCUCUCUGUUCCCAGAAUGGUGCUGCUUCUGCUCUGUCUCUUCAGAUUAUAUAGGGCCCUGAGUUGAUGUGAUGCUAAUCUGGCUUGCUGUCCUCUCUGGAAAAUGACUCUGGCCCAGUCAUUUCACUGUAGGUCAUUCUAAAGGAGGAGGAGUGGUGCCAGCAUAUCCAUUAGGUUGUUUGUGUUUCUAAGCAUUUCACUCAUCACCAUGGUAUCUGGGUCCAUUUUACUUUAUUUGUAGAAGUAGUAUUUUUUAUCUCUCUCUCCCACACAUUUUAUUAUUAUCUGCAGCAGCAGCAUUAUCAUACUUGUAGGAAAGCAAAGGCAAAAAGAAAGUGUUGAAGAAACCUUUUUUCUGAAGUUGAUGCCAUCAUGGUCAUUCAUGGUUAUUGUUGAAUAUUCUUGGAGUGAACCCAAACCAUAGAGGUGGUGCUCUGUGCUUAAAUCAAUAUUAUUUCUAGAUACUACAAAUGACAAUCCUAGGAAUGAAGAGUACAAGAUCACUGUGACCAGAACAUAAUCAGAAGGUACUAUCUCCUAGUCAGUUGCAAAUAGAAAAGUAGGACUUACUUCUUUAGCAGAAGUAGAUACUUGGCAGCAGAAGUAGAUACUUGGCUUGUGAGAAUUAGUGAGGUGUCUGAAAGUAUUCCCAGGCUGCAAGCACCUUCAAGAAUAGGAGGACAAAUACAUUCUCAUGAAGUAUUCUGAACACUGAGAAUUCUUCAAAAUGCUUUUCUCUUCCCACAAGUAUAACUUAUCUUGCUGUCAUCCUCUAGUUAGACAACCACUGUUUCUGAAAUGUUUUGCAUUGGGGUAUCUUGGUGAUUACAAUAUUUGACACAAUGUGGGUUGGGUGUCAGCCACAUAGCAAUUGCUUUUAAGCUCUGAAUGGUGCAUCAUACUCUUCCCACACUUUCAGGCUGAUGAUCAGUGGAAGAAAAAAAAUAGGCUUGUGGGAAUCCACAGGUGAGGAACCUUAAAAUGAAAGGAGUAAUUGCCCAUCGUAAUUCCCAGAGAUGGUCCAAAUUAAAUACCAGAUACUUCUAAGUGCAUUUCUGUUUUCCAUCCCAAAUGCAGAAGAGUGGUGUUUGGAAUUCAGCUGUUAUCAUAGGAAGAUAUAGACAUAAAAAAAGAUCAUUCAUUUAUAAUAAUUAAAACUCUCUCUUUUGCCUGGUUUUAUCUGACAGUUGUAAACUAAAUCCAGUUAUUCCCCUUUCUUUGUGAUGAUUUUACAUUCAUAUGUUUAAAAUUUUGGGUUUCCCUGUUUAUAAAUAGCAACAGAUGUAAAAAACAGUUCAAAAAAGAGACUGCAGCUCCAUUUUUUAACAUGGGAAGAGAAAUUCAUGUUGAAAAUCAGCAUUUAAAUAAUGGCACAGAUGCAUACAGGCAGGGAAAUAGAUAGCUACAAUAGAAAUGUGCCACAUGUCUCGGAACACAUAACCACAACAGGGUGUCUCUUUUAUGACUUUCUUAAUGCACUGCAAUAUGCCUAGAUAUCGAAGGACAUAUGGUAUAUUUUCUUUUUAAUUGCACAUUUCUUUGCUCUUGUGAGUUACUCGCAACCUUAACUUUAUUUAAUUGUAAUUUUGAUGCAUAAAUCUAGAUCAUCACCAAGAGUUUCAAAUACAAAUAUGUUUCAUCCAGCUUUUCCAUCUCUUUUCCCACUUUUACAAGAGUGUAGUGCCCUUUUUUAAUGUGUAUUUCAGUAUUUCAGUAUCUUUUGGAGAGCGAAUGCAGACGGAGGAGGAUGGGCCCUUUUCUGAAACACUUUUUCCCCAUGUUUCCAACUCAUCUUUCUCAAAAACAAGUACUGGGUAACAAUAUAGGCUCUGAGACUAGAGUCCAGAAAGCAUUAACAUAUGGUUCCUAGAGAAAGCUAUUUAUUUGAAAUGAGGUGCAUAACAGUUGAGCGAUUUUAGCCUCCUCAGGAGUGUGUCAGAAUUCCUCAUUGCACUGGGCUUCAUUUGAUUUAGUUUGGGGGAAAGCUAUAAGAUUUGCAAUGAUCUGGUCUUCCAACAGUUCUGAGAAGAAAAAAAAACUAUCUUCAGUUUCUGCCUGUAUUUUCUGCCAUUUUUAUUAUCUGAGCUUCCAUAAAUUCCCUGGAAUAGAAGAGACAGAUAAAGGAAGGGAUCAGGAAACAUUCCCUUUCACAAGCAGGAAAAUACAGAAUGCUAAUUCAUCAUAAUUUUCAAAUUUAAAUUCAAAACUUAAAUUCAAAUUUUAAAGUUGGUAUUUACCAAGCUGACAAUACAAGACAGAGGAGAGCAAAGAAGUUUAUGGUAACACUGCUUACACCUGCUGACUAAAGAUUGCAGUAUCAAGCUGAGAACGAUUCCUGAGAGUUAGAAGUUUCUCAGACAGAGACUAAUACAUUGGUGACAGCACCUCAUUUUGUGCAUUCACCUCAAACUGGCAAGAAAGAAUCACUUUAUUAAAAGUAAGUAUCAUAGCUCAGAAUCUAGUGCUAGUUGGAUGGCAAGGUGAAUUUCAGGGUUGACUUUUUUCAUCUUGCGAUAGGAAAAAAGAAAAGAGUUUUGGGUUUAUGCCUGUGUUCUGUAAACUUUUUAGAUCAGUAAUCAAUAAGAGAACAGUUACAGCAAAUCUCAAGGGAGUAGCUUCUUUUGAUAGAUGAAAAAGAAAGGUAACAAAAGGAAGAAGUACUAUUUUUGGUUUCGUAUUUCUGUGGGCUUCCCCAACUGGACUUGGUGUUACCUUGUGACAUUGUGGGAUUUCCUACAUGCCCAGAAUCCAUGUUAAUUCUUCUUGAUGCAAAAUGAAGCUAGCAUCUGAAGGUCUGCCAAUUUAAAUGGUUGCACUUAGGAGAUGGUUCAGAUUCAGUUUCUUUAAUUAAUCAGUGAGUUGUUAUCAAAUAUACAAUAUCAGAUUGUUAGAGUAAAUGGUCUCUCAUGGUGUUUUUGCUUCCUAAAAGAAAUCACGCUAAUAGGGUAAAUAUGUCUUGAAUUUAUUCUGUCAGCUUCUUGUCUGGUUCUUUGAAUUUUGCCAUUUAUAUUUUGUAUUGGCCUUUGUAUAGAGUAUUAAUCAGAAUAUUAAUAUUGUAUAGAACCUGAAAUACAAGCUAAUAUGUCCUGAUAUAAAAUGAACUACCCAAAUAGCAUGAAAACGACAAAGAUAUUGGUGGCUCUAGUAUGUUCCAGAGGAGCAGCAGCAAAAACAGGAAAAAUCAUUGUGAAGCUAAAUUUUUACUCUAGUAUCUGCCAUGUUAGUUUGCAAAUAUAAAUAUUGAGAAUAAAGAAACUCACAUCAUGUUCAGUAGUCUGCACUAAUGGGAGUAAGUGCAACAGCAGCAGUGAGAAAAUCUUUUAGUGUCCUGAUUUUAUUCUUCAAAAGGGAGUCUCCAGCUCGUAGGAAUCGAUGCUAUAAAUAAAGAAUAGGAGAACAUCUAGUCUAAACCUCCUUAGAGCUGAAAAAUUUUUAAGAAUUCCUAGAGGUUAUUAUUUUAUUUUAGGACACAGAAGCAAAGUACUAUAGUUCACUGACUGCUUCAUUUUUUUAAUGUCAAAAGCAAAGCAGAAAAGAUAAACAUGAGAGAGUACUGCCAAGCGCUGCUGAGGAAGAAAAGGUAGCAAUGAUCUUGAUGAUAACUUGAGUACUCAUAUCUGUGUAAAGGCAACAAAUUUGCAACCGGAAGGUGUACUGUUCUCCUGGAGAUGUCUCCCAGGACUCACUUCUACGUCAUCACUGCUCUUCUGAAGACUCAUGACCAUGAAGGACAGAGGAAAUGACUGAACAGCUACAAGACACUACUUCUACCUUGUCAUCAUAAUUCUAAACAACUUUUUGAGGAAAUACAGAAAGAGAAUUAUAUGAAAUGCAGUUUUCUUGCAGAGGGCAGGAUCCCAUGACCUAAGGAAGACCUGGAACUCCUGCAGAAAUAAAUCAGUGUGGACAUCAUCAGUGAAUGAUCACUUUAUAAUUAAAUUCAGAAAAAAAACAUGCACUCCAUUCCUUAAAAUAUUGUGAAAGUUGGUCAAAAUGGAUACUUACAAGGCUUUUAUGAGGAACUCAGUUUGUUUGCAUAAUUUGAAGCAUAUCUUUAAGAAGACCUAGCAACUUGAAGGUCUUCAAACCCAUCUAGGAAUUGAGAGAUCAAAACCAGAUGCCAGUGAUUUGGUGGUCUAAAUUCUGAACAGCAGAAGAUAUAAGGACCAAAGAACUUGGAUCUGUAGAAGCAUUUGAAGGAGAAGACAACCAGUGGAGAAGUAUGGAAAUGGGGCAGAGCAAUUUUGUCUAUUCCUUUGUUGCCAAUGCUAUCCUCCUGCCAUUUUAUGCUAUUGAGUACAGUGUGCCUUUCAGGUGCUUUACAAUGUACAAUGCCAUACUACACUAAAUUCUAAUCCAGGAUUUGGCAAGAGACAUAAGGAUACUGCAUACAGCAGCAAGCUGCAUUCUUCCCUGCCAUGAAGCACAUCAGGUGAUACUUCCACUCCCUCUUUCUCCUUACUGUGAGUCUCUAUAUGGUAGUACUGGUCACAAAUUUACAGCAUUGCAGUUUCCCUGAGCUGUCUCUUCCUAAAGCUAAACAACCUCAGCUCUUUCAGUCUCUCCUCAUACAAUAGAUGCUCCAAGCCCUUAGUCAUCUUAGUGGCCCACCACUGGACUCACUCUGAUAUGUUCGUGCCUUUUUUGUACUAGGGAGUCCAGAAAUGGACACAGCACUCCAGAUGUGGUCUCACCAGUGCUGAGCAGAGGGGAGGGAUCACCUCCCUUGACCUGCUGGCGACACUCUUCGUGAUGCAGCCCAGGAUGUUGUUGGCCUUCUUUGCUGCAAGGGCACAUUGCUGGAUCAUGUUCAUCUUGUCCACCAAGAUCGCCAUGUUCUUUUCUGCAAAGAUGCUUUCCAGCCAGUCAGCCUCCAGCAUGGUGUUAUUCUUCCUCAGGUGCAGGACUUUGCACUUCCCAUUGCUCAACUUCAUGAGGUUCCUCUCUGCCCAUUUCUCCAACCAGCCAAGGUCCCUCUGAAUGGCAAGACAGCUCUCUGGUGUAUCAGCCACGCCUCCCAGUUUUGUAACAUCUUCAAUUUGCUAAGGGUGCAAUCAUGUAGGUCAUUGACGAAGAUGUUAAACACUGUUGGCCCUAGUAUUGACCCCCUGGGAUACUUCUCUAGUCACUGGUCUCCAACUGGACUCUGUGCUGAUCACACCUCUCUGAGCCUAACAGAUCAGCCAGUUUUCAUCCUCUUCACUCUCCACUUACCUAGUCCGUACUUCAUCAGUUUGUUUAUAAAGAUAUCAUGGGAAAGUGUUUUAAGCCAUACUAAAGUUGAAAUAAACAGUAUCACUGCUCUCCCCUCAUCCACCAGGCUGGUCAUCUCAUCAUAGAAAGAUAUCAGGUUGGUUAAGCACAACCUUCUUGUCCUUCGUGUGUUUGCAAAUGGUUUCCAGCAUGAUUUCCUCCAUCACCUUCCCAGGGAUUGAGGUGAGGUUGACCAGCCUGUAGUUCUGUGGACCCUCCUUCUUGCCUGUCUUGAAGAUAGGAGUGACAUUUGCUUUCUUCCAGUCCUCAGGAACCUCCCCUGAUCGCCACAACCUUUCAAAUAUAAUUGAGAGGUGCUUUGCAAUGAUAUCGGCCAGCUCCCUCAGCACUCAUGGGUGUAUCCCAUCAGGUCCCAUGGACUUUUAUAUGUCCAGUUUGUUUAAAUGUUACUGAACUUGAUCCUCCUUCACUGAGGGUAAGUGCUUCCUUGUGCCAGACUUUCACACGUCUCAGGGACUUGGGACUGCUGAAGGCAAAUCUUACCUGUAAAGACCGAGGCAAAGAAGGCAUUGAGUACCUCAGCCUUUUCUGUAUCCUUUGUCACCAGGUCUCCUGCCCCAUUCAGCAGCAAGCCCACAUUUUCCCCAGUGUUCCUUUUGCUGAUGAUAUAUCUGUAAAUGGCCUUGUUGCCCUUCAUGUCCCUUGCCAGAUUCAGCUCCAUGUGGGCUUUGGCUUUCCUAGCCUCAUCCCUAUGUGCUUGGACAGUACCUCUAUAUUCCUCCCAGGCCACUUGUCCCUGCUUUCACCUCUUAUAUGCUUUCUUUUUAUGUUGAAUUUAGUCAGGAGCUCCCUGUUCAUCCGUGCAGGCCUCCUGCUGCUUGUGCUUGUUUUCCUGCUCAAUGGGAUGGACCAUUCUUGAACUUGAAGGAGAUCAUCCUUGAAAAUAAGCCCACUCUCCUGGACUCCUCUUCUUUCCAGGGCUAUAUCCCAUGGGAUUCUUCCAAGUAGGUUCCCCCAAGUAGGUUGUGAUCCUGGUUUUUUGUUGUUCCUUUCUGUCAGGAUCCAGAACUCCUCCAUUUCAUGGCCACUGCAGCCAAGGCUGUCCCAAACCUACCCAUCUCUGACCAGUUCUUCCGUUUUGGAAAGUGUGAGGUCCAACAGAGCAUCUCUCUUCAUCCACUCCUCAAUCAUCUGUGUUAGGAAGUUGUCAUCAGUGCACUCCAGGAACCUCCUGGAUUGCUUGUGCCCUGCUGUGUUGUCCUUCCAGCAGAUAUCAGGGUGGUUGAAGUCCCCAUGAGGACCCGGGCCUGUGGCCAUGAGGCUUCUUCAAGUUGUCUGAAGAAGGCAUCAUCUACUUCUUCUUCCUGAUCAGGGGGUCUGUGCCAGACACGCACCACUGCACCACCCAUGUUUAUCUGCCCACUAAUCCUGACCCAUAAACUCAGCUGGCUCAUUGUCCAGCUCAAGGCAGAGCUCCAUGCAUUCCUGCUGCUCUCUCACAUAGAGGGUGUUUGGUUUUGUUCUCCAUCUGCUUGCUUUGUUUGUAUUCUCUAUAUAUUGCUUUUUAAAUCUUGGAAGAACAAUAACAUAGACAUUUUCACAUUGUGUUCUUUAAUUUGCUAUACAUAGUAUAUCUCAAAAUCGCUGUAUAUUUUAUCAGGAGAAGGUCUUCAAGAUUAUUUGUUUUGAUAAAUGAAAAGUAAUAAAUUGUACAAUGAAAUACAAAGCAGGGAAUAGAGUUAUAUUUGACCAAAAAUAGAUUAGAGAGAUAGUCUUGUCAGUGUUAAUAACCAGUGGUGCCAUUUCUCUUAUAUAGCACUUCAGUGACAAGAAAGCACAGCAAAGAAACAAUAUACUUCUGUAAAUAUGCUUUGUGAGUGUUAUUGGCUUGAAACCAAUUUGGAAAAAUACAGUCUUAAUAAAAUCGUGUUUUUCUUUUCAAAUAUUUUUAAGGAUAAAAUUACUAUGAUUGGACAUCCACUUGCAGAGUGGGAUCUGUAACAUUUCUUACGCACACUAUGCAUACAUUUCACUAUUAACCUUGGAAUGAGAGAUAUUCAUGUUUUAUGUUUAUGUUUAAAAAGGAACCAAAAUAAAUUUAUGUUGAAGACACAUACCACAUCAUUGUUUGUACUGUGGUGUUCAUUCUCCCAGAAGUGGGAGACUUGUUUUGCCCCAUUUUGGUAUUUGCUACUUACGUGGUGAUUUAGUCACCAGGACUGCUUAAGGGCACAUGAUUCGUUGAAAGUCAAAACUCCUUUCCUGCAAAAGUUUCUACCUUGUUUAUAUCUUGCUAUUCUGUAUAGUCACACUGCCAGGAGAAGCAGAAUUAGUAACUGAGUACAUACGAGUUUUCAAAAGCCAAGAUAAUCACUAGAGAAAAUAAUUAAGUUAUUUUGAAAUGGUAUCUUUCUCUGGUCCAAAUUUCUUACAUGGACUGUGCAAGUAUGACUAACAGUUGCUUGAAAUGUGUCUCUAACCUGUGUUACUGUAAACAUACAUACAUAUAUUUAUAUUGACAUGUGUUUCUUUUCAGUCAGGAGAAGCCCUUUAAAACACAGCAUGGGAACUCCUGGCCUUUCUCCUCCCGGCAGCCCUCUGAGCAAUACUAGCAGACCUAUUGCAAACCUCACAGCACUGGAUCUUACAGCCCUGCAAAGGCCUGCCCUGGUGGACCUGGUUGAGGGGCCCCCUCCUGCACACCAGAAGCUGUGCUGAGAAAUGGCUCUCGACCCCCAGCAUCGGUGCAUGCUGGCAAGGCAAAGGGGGAGAGCUGCAGGACCAGCCCCCUAAGCCCCGCUGCGCUUGCUGGAGCGGUUGGGCAAGGGGGAGGCUGCAACAGCUGCAGCAAUGAUCAUGCGGCAGGCUGUGCUCACAGGGAGAAGUCUGACCUGUAGAGGUGAUGGCUGCUGGAACGCCAUCCUUCCCAAGGUACACCACUAAGGAAAGUAGGUGUGUGGGCCAGGUAGGUGUAUAUAACAAUGAGAAAAUGUUCCCCUGGCAUGUGGGGUGACCUCCUGCCUGCCUGGGAGGACCUGCCGGCAUGCUCACAGGACUUGGCGUACCAAACGAUGGGGGAAAAGUUAGCCUCCAAGGAAAGAAGGGAGCAUGCAUAUAGACCUUAAUUACAGUCUCUGCAGCUUAUGUUUGCAUCAAGGUGGAAAACUGCAAGCUAGAAACUACAGUUCUUGGUCUUCCCUUGUCUUAAAAUGAGGGCAACUAGGGAUGCAUACUAGAAAUGCAUAAACUGCCUUUGAAUUACCCCAAAAGAGGCAUUGACUGUUAUCAAGCAACAUAUGAAGAUAGAAGAAUGUAAGUGUGCGGAUAUAUUUAUUUUGCUUUAAGGGCAAAGAGCUGCAGUAUUAUCUCCUAUCUUUUGCUUUUAUUCUGUAUGAAAUUUUAAAACAUGUCUUUAGUCUAAAAAGAUAUUCUAGAAAGUUAUUACAGUAUUAUUCCACAGUUCUUUAUUAGCCAUAACUUGCUAUACAUUCUUUUGUAAGAAAAAUAUAGUAAUUUAUCUUACUGUUAAAUCAGUCUGAAAGUCAAGCUGAGUUCACUCUGGAUAUCAGUAAUAACAACUCUAAACUAAAAGCCUAAUUAGUAGCUUUGCUGAUAGGAAUGGUGGGCCGUAAUAAUAUCUAUGCCUCUGAUGUAUUGAGGAAAAGGGUGUCUUUUGUUCAGUAACAUGAUCUGAACAUUUUUGAUAAAGACUAUUAGUCUUCUGAUAAUGAUAAAACAUUAUUUUGCACAACUCUAAAUAUAUUUGCAGUUUAGCUAUUAAUAUGUAUAUACUGUUGCAGGAGGAAGGUACUUUGUUGCUCAAGUAUAUUCAUUAUGCAUUUUUCUGAA